GGAGGCAGCAGUGGGGAAUAUUGCACAAUGGGCGCAAGCCUGAUGCAGCCAUGCCGCGUGUAUGAAGAAGGCCUUCGGGUUGUAAAGUACUUUCAGCGGGGAGGAAGGGAGUAAAGUUAAUACCUUUGCUCAUUGACGUUACCCGCAGAAGAAGCACCGGCUAACUCCGUGCCAGCAGCCGCGGUAAUACGGAGGGUGCAAGCGUUAAUCGGAAUUACUGGGCGUAAAGCGCACGCAGGCGGUUUGUUAAGUCAG
Molecule: ribosomal RNA, 255 nt
Filed under: Escherichia coli
Lineage: Bacteria; Pseudomonadati; Pseudomonadota; Gammaproteobacteria; Enterobacterales; Enterobacteriaceae
Also listed under: 3 other names
Description: partial 16S ribosomal RNA
Rfam family: Bacterial small subunit ribosomal RNA
Source: RNAcentral